GCAAGGUGAUAUGAACCGUUAUAACCGGCGAUUUCCGAAUGGGGAAACCCAGUGUGAUUCGUCACACUAUCAUUAACUGAAUCCAUAGGUUAAUGAGGCGAACCGGGGGAACUGAAACAUCUAAGUACCCCGAGGAAAAGAAAUCAACCGAGAUUCCCCCAGUAGCGGCGAGCGAACGGGGAGGAGCCCAGAGCCUGAAUCAGUGUGUGUGUUAGUGGAAGCGUCUGGAAAGGCGCGCGAUACAGGGUGACAGCCCCGUACACAAAAAUGCACAUGCUGUGAGCUCGAUGAGUAGGGCGGGACACGUGGUAUCCUGUCUGAAUAUGGGGGGACCAUCCUCCAAGGCUAAAUACUCCUGACUGACCGAUAGUGAACCAGUACCGUGAGGGAAAGGCGAAAAGAACCCCGGCGAGGGGAGUGAAAAAGAACCUGAAACCGUGUACGUACAAGCAGUGGGAGCACAGAGCAAUCUGUGUGACUGCGUACCUUUUGUAUAAUGGGUCAGCGACUUAUAUUCUGUAGCAAGGUUAACCGAAUAGGGGAGCCGAAGGGAAACCGAGUCUUAACUGGGCGUUAAGUUGCAGGGUAUAGACCCGAAACCCGGUGAUCUAGCCAUGGGCAGGUUGAAGGUUGGGUAACACUAACUGGAGGACCGAACCGACUAAUGUUGAAAAAUUAGCGGAUGACUUGUGGCUGGGGGUGAAAGGCCAAUCAAACCGGGAGAUAGCUGGUUCUCCCCGAAAGCUAUUUAGGUAGCGCCUCGUGAAUUCAUCUCCGGGGGUAGAGCACUGUUUCGGCAAGGGGGUCAUCCCGACUUACCAACCCGAUGCAAACUGCGAAUACCGGAGAAUGUUAUCACGGGAGACACACGGCGGGUGCUAACGUCCGUCGUGAAGAGGGAAACAACCCAGACCGCCAGCUAAGGUCCCAAAGUCAUGGUUAAGUGGGAAACGAUGUGGGAAGGCCCAGACAGCCAGGAUGUUGGCUUAGAAGCAGCCAUCAUUUAAAGAAAGCGUAAUAGCUCACUGGUCGAGUCGGCCUGCGCGGAAGAUGUAACGGGGCUAAACCAUGCACCGAAGCUGCGGCAGCGACACUGUGUGUUGUUGGGUAGGGGAGCGUUCUGUAAGCCUGUGAAGGUGUGCUGUGAGGCAUGCUGGAGGUAUCAGAAGUGCGAAUGCUGACAUAAGUAACGAUAAAGCGGGUGAAAAGCCCGCUCGCCGGAAGACCAAGGGUUCCUGUCCAACGUUAAUCGGGGCAGGGUGAGUCGACCCCUAAGGCGAGGCCGAAAGGCGUAGUCGAUGGGAAACAGGUUAAUAUUCCUGUACUUGGUGUUACUGCGAAGGGGGGACGGAGAAGGCUAUGUUGGCCGGGCGACGGUUGUCCCGGUUUAAGCGUGUAGGCUGGUUUUCCAGGCAAAUCCGGAAAAUCAAGGCUGAGGCGUGAUGACGAGGCACUACGGUGCUGAAGCAACAAAUGCCCUGCUUCCAGGAAAAGCCUCUAAGCAUCAGGUAACAUCAAAUCGUACCCCAAACCGACACAGGUGGUCAGGUAGAGAAUACCAAGGCGCUUGAGAGAACUCGGGUGAAGGAACUAGGCAAAAUGGUGCCGUAACUUCGGGAGAAGGCACGCUGAUAUGUAGGUGAAGUCCCUCGCGGAUGGAGCUGAAAUCAGUCGAAGAUACCAGCUGGCUGCAACUGUUUAUUAAAAACACAGCACUGUGCAAACACGAAAGUGGACGUAUACGGUGUGACGCCUGCCCGGUGCCGGAAGGUUAAUUGAUGGGGUCAGCGCAAGCGAAGCUCUUGAUCGAAGCCCCGGUAAACGGCGGCCGUAACUAUAACGGUCCUAAGGUAGCGAAAUUCCUUGUCGGGUAAGUUCCGACCUGCACGAAUGGCGUAAUGAUGGCCAGGCUGUCUCCACCCGAGACUCAGUGAAAUUGAACUCGCUGUGAAGAUGCAGUGUACCCGCGGCAAGACGGAAAGACCCCGUGAACCUUUACUAUAGCUUGACACUGAACAUUGAGCCUUGAUGUGUAGGAUAGGUGGGAGGCUUUGAAGUGUGGACGCCAGUCUGCAUGGAGCCGACCUUGAAAUACCACCCUUUAAUGUUUGAUGUUCUAACGUGGACCCGUGAUCCGGGUUGCGGACAGUGUCUGGUGGGUAGUUUGACUGGGGCGGUCUCCUCCUAAAGAGUAACGGAGGAGCACGAAGGUUGGCUAAUCCUGGUCGGACAUCAGGAGGUUAGUGCAAUGGCAUAAGCCAGCUUGACUGCGAGCGUGACGGCGCGAGCAGGUGCGAAAGCAGGUCAUAGUGAUCCGGUGGUUCUGAAUGGAAGGGCCAUCGCUCAACGGAUAAAAGGUACUCCGGGGAUAACAGGCUGAUACCGCCCAAGAGUUCAUAUCGACGGCGGUGUUUGGCACCUCGAUGUCGGCUCAUCACAUCCUGGGGCUGAAGUAGGUCCCAAGGGUAUGGCUGUUCGCCAUUUAAAGUGGUACGCGAGCUGGGUUUAGAACGUCGUGAGACAGUUCGGUCCCUAUCUGCCGUGGGCGCUGGAGAACUGAGGGGGGCUGCUCCUAGUACGAGAGGACCGGAGUGGACGCAUCACUGGUGUUCGGGUUGUCAUGCCAAUGGCACUGCCCGGUAGCUAAAUGCGGAAGAGAUAAGUGCUGAAAGCAUCUAAGCACGAAACUUGCCCCGAGAUGAGUUCUCCCUGACCCUUUAAGGGUCCUGAAGGAACGUUGAAGACGACGACGUUGAUAGGCCGGGUGUGUAAGCGCAGCGAUGCGUUGAGCUAACCGGUACUAAUGAACCGUGAGGCUUAACCUUACAACGCCGAAGGUGUUU
This 2843-nucleotide ribosomal RNA is filed under the name Escherichia coli. Its description in RNAcentral is "bacterial LSU rRNA". It matches the Rfam family "Bacterial large subunit ribosomal RNA". Lineage: Bacteria; Pseudomonadati; Pseudomonadota; Gammaproteobacteria; Enterobacterales; Enterobacteriaceae. The record is from RNAcentral.